Molecule: ribosomal RNA, 303 nt
Filed under: Craterostigmus tasmanianus
Lineage: Eukaryota; Metazoa; Arthropoda; Chilopoda; Craterostigmomorpha; Craterostigmidae
Description: eukaryotic LSU rRNA
Rfam family: Eukaryotic large subunit ribosomal RNA
Source: RNAcentral
GACCAAGGAGUCUAACAUGUGCGCGAGUCGUAGGGUUACGCUCAAAGCCCGAAGGCGCAAUGAAAGUGAAGGUCGGCCUCGAUUGCCGUUACCUAGGCGGGAUCCGUUCGGGCUUACCGGUCGUUCGCGGCUGAGCCCGGCGGCGCACCGCCGGCCCGUCUCGACCGCAUCGCCGGUGAGGCGGAGCGAGAGCGUACACGUUGGGACCCGAAAGAUGGUGAACUAUGCCCGGGCAGGACGAAGCCAGAGGAAACUCUGGUGGAGGUCCGUAGCGAUUCUGACGUGCAAAUCGAUCGUCGGACC